GUCCACGCCGUAACGAUGUCGAUUGGAGGCUGUGUCCUUGAGACGUGGCUUCCGGAGCUAACGCGUUAAAUCGACCGCCUGGGAGUACGGCCGCAAGGUUAACUCAAAUGAAUUGACGGGCCGGCACAAGCGGUGGAGCAUGUGGUUUAAUUCGAUGCAACGCGAAGAACCUUACCUGGCCUUGACAUGUCUGGAAUCCUGCAGAGAUGCGGGAGUGCCUUCGGGAAUCAGAACACAGGUGCUGCAUGGCUGUCGU
Molecule: ribosomal RNA, 256 nt
Filed under: uncultured bacterium
Lineage: Bacteria
Description: partial 16S ribosomal RNA
Rfam family: Bacterial small subunit ribosomal RNA
Source: RNAcentral